This 253-nucleotide ribosomal RNA is filed under the name uncultured bacterium. RNAcentral's name for it is "partial 16S ribosomal RNA". It matches the Rfam family "Bacterial small subunit ribosomal RNA", at positions 524 to 776 of the family's 1533-position model. The record is from RNAcentral.
UACGUAGGGUGCGAGCGUUAAUCGGAAUUACUGGGCGUAAAGCGUGCGCAGGCGGUUCGUUAAGUUCGUUGUGAAAGCCCCGGGCUCAACCUGGGAACUGCAAUGGAAACUGGCGGGCUUGAGUGCGGCAGAGGGGGGUGGAAUUCCGCGUGUAGCAGUGAAAUGCGUAGAGAUGCGGAGGAACACCGAUGGCGAAGGCAGCCCCCUGGGCCGACACUGACGCUCAGGCACGAAAGCGUAGGGAGCAAACAGG